RNAcentral lists this ribosomal RNA (253 nucleotides) under uncultured bacterium. RNAcentral's name for it is "partial 16S ribosomal RNA". It matches the Rfam family "Bacterial small subunit ribosomal RNA", at positions 524 to 776 of the family's 1533-position model. The record is from RNAcentral.
UACAGAGGUCCCAAGCGUUGUUCGGAUUCAUUGGGUUUAAAGGGUGCGUAGGCGGUUCCAUAAGUCAGUGGUGAAAUACGGCAGCUCAACUGUCGAGGUGCCAUUGAUACUGCGGAACUUGAGUACUGAUGAGGUAGGCGGAAUUGACGGUGUAGCGGUGAAAUGCUUAGAUAUCGUCAAGAACACCGAUAGCGAAGGCAGCUUACCAAGCAGUAACUGACGCUGAGGCACGAAAGUGCGGGGAUCAAACAGG